Molecule: long non-coding RNA, 566 nt
Filed under: Linum usitatissimum (flax)
Lineage: Eukaryota; Viridiplantae; Streptophyta; Magnoliopsida; Malpighiales; Linaceae
Description: long non-coding RNA (LUSI_LNC005929)
Source: RNAcentral
GCAGCUGGUGGAGCACAUUUGUGGAACUGAUCGUUCCAAUUUUCGACACAUACUCCUCAUCUCGUUUAAGUACUACUCUUCAACUGGAAGUUACAUCAAAGAAAAACUAGUGCUUUAGCUUAGAUGCUAAAAUCUGUUAUGUCAAUUGCUUGUAACAAUAUUCUUCGUACAUAUGGCUAUGAGGCAGCCAUUGAUGUUGUUUGUAUUGAUCUGUAUCAUGGUAGAUGUUCAACAUGUUUUUUUACUUGUUUCAGAAGUGAUCAGAAAGUUGGGUACGGGAAAUACGGUUUCGAUAGUAAUCAGAAAGUUGUAACUGUCAACAAUGGCAAUGAAUUUGUACCGAAAAUUGGAUAAAAACCUGUAACAGACCAUCUUAAUUUCGCUUCCUACGUGGCUUUUAACUUAUACAAUCGUAACGAGACAUACAAGCCUUGCGAACCGAAACAUCAAUACGACAUCAAACCAAGGCAACAAAUGGACAUCUAUAUAAUUAUUGCUCUAGUAUUUUCACAGACAUGUACAAUUUGGUAGAAGGAACCAUUUUUUGGAGGACUUUUUCCAGAAUG